AUUGAACGCUGGCGGCAGGCCUAACACAUGCAAGUCGAACGAGUGGCAGACGGGUGUGUAAUGUGUGGAAAACUACCAUCUGGCGGGGGAUAACUAGGGGAAACUGUCUUUAAUCCCGCAAACCCUAGGAUUAGCCCAAGUUGGGAUAGGUAGUUGGUUAGGUAACGGCUCACCAAGCGGACGACCCCUAGCUGGUCUGAGAGGAUGACCAGCCACAAUGUAACUGAGACAUGGUCCAGACUCCUACGGGAGGAAGCAGUGGGGAAUAUUGCGCAAUGGGCGAAAGCCGGACGCAGCCAUGCGGCGUGAGUGAAGAGGGCCUUCGGGUUGUAAAGUACUUUCAGUGGGGAGGCGUUACCUGCAGAAGAAGCACCGGCUAACUCCGUGCCAGCAGCCGCGGUAAUUC
RNAcentral lists this ribosomal RNA (406 nucleotides) under uncultured bacterium. Its description in RNAcentral is "partial 16S ribosomal RNA". It matches the Rfam family "Bacterial small subunit ribosomal RNA", at positions 30 to 526 of the family's 1533-position model. The record is from RNAcentral.